RNAcentral lists this ribosomal RNA (486 nucleotides) under uncultured bacterium. RNAcentral's name for it is "partial 16S ribosomal RNA". It matches the Rfam family "Bacterial small subunit ribosomal RNA", at positions 29 to 507 of the family's 1533-position model. The record is from RNAcentral.
AUUGAACGCUGGCGGCAUGCCUUACACAUGCAAGUCGAACGGCAGCACGGGUGCUUGCCCCUGGUGGCGAGUGGCGAACGGGUGAGUAAUACAUCGGAACAUGUCCUGUAGUGGGGGAUAGCCCGGCGAAAGCCGGAUUAAUACCGCAUACGAUCUACGGAUGAAAGCGGGGGACCUUCGGGCCUCGCGCUAUAGGGUUGGCCGAUGGCUGAUUAGCUAGUUGGUGGGGUAAAGGCCUACCAAGGCGACGCUCAGUAGCUGGUCUGAGAGGACGAACAGCCACACUGGGAAUGAGACACGGCCCAGACUCCUAAGGGAGGCAGCAGUGGGGAAUUUUGGACAAUGGGCGAAAGCCUGAUCCAGCAAUGCCGCGUGUGUGAAGAAGGCCUUCGGGUUGGAAAGCACUUUUGGCCGGAAAGAAAGCCUUGGCCCUAAUACGGGCGGGGGAUGACGGUACCGGAAGAAUAAGCACCGGCUAACUACGUG